Molecule: ribosomal RNA, 1558 nt
Filed under: Echinosorex gymnura
Lineage: Eukaryota; Metazoa; Chordata; Mammalia; Eulipotyphla; Erinaceidae
Description: 16S ribosomal RNA
Rfam family: Bacterial large subunit ribosomal RNA
Source: RNAcentral
ACCAAUACUAGCCCAAUAAUUAUUUAAUCAAACUAUAAAAACCUUUAUAAACUAAAACAUUUAUAAUUCAUGAGUAUAGGAGAUAGAAAAUAUAAAAUGGCGCUAUAGAGAAAGUACCGUAAGGGAAAGAUUGAAAGAAUCUAUUUAAAGUAUAAAAAAGCAAAGAUUAAAUCUUGUACCUUUUGCAUAAUGGAUUAGCUAGAAAUAUUUAGCACAGAGGACUUAAGUUAAAAAUCCCGAAAUCAAACGAGCUACUUAAUGACAGCUAUAAGAGCCAACUCAUCUAUGUGGCAAAAUAGUGAGAAGAUCAAUAAGUAGAGGUGAAAAGCCAAACGAGCUUGAUGAUAGCUGGUUACUCAGAAAAGAAUUUAAGUUCAACUUUAAAUUUACCUAUAAGUAUAAAAUUAAAAUGUAAAUUUAAAAGCUAUUCUAAAGAGGUACAGCUCUUUAGAACAAGGAUACAACCUUAAUUAGAGAAUAAAUAAAAAUAUUACCAUAGUGGGCCUAAAAGCAGCCAUCAAUUAAGAAAGCGUUAAAGCUCAACAAAAUCCUAUUACUAAUUCCAACAUUAUUUAUGCAUUUCCUAAUUCAAAAACUGAGUUAAUCUAUACUAUUAGAAGAAAUAAUGCUUAUAUAAGUAACAAGAAAUAUUUCUCCUUUGCACAAGUUUAUAUCAGACCGAAUAACUCACUGAUAGUUAACAAUAAUAUAAACACAACCAAAAAAUUAAUUAUCUUAUUAAUUAUACUGUUAACCCAACACAGGAGUGCAUAAAGGAAAGGCAAAAAGAAGCAAAAGGAACUCGGCAAAAACAAACCCCGCCUGUUUACCAAAAACAUCACCUCUAGCAUUACAAGUAUUAGAGGCAAUGCCUGCCCGGUGACAUUAGUUAAACGGCCGCGGUACUCUGACCGUGCAAAGGUAGCAUAAUCACUUGUUCUUUAAUUAAGGACUUGUAUGAAAGGCCACACGAGGGUUUAACUGUCUCUUGUAUCUAGCCAGUGAAAUUGAUCUCUCCGUGAAGAGGCGGGGAUAAUUAAAUAAGACGAGAAGACCCUAUGGAGCUUUAAUUUAAUUACUCAAUAUUUAUUAUAUAAUAAAUCAAAAGAAAUAAAAUAACAACAUAUGAGUAAUAAAUUUUGGUUGGGGUGACCUCGGAGAAUAAAAAAUCCUCCGAGAGAUUAAGAAUAAGACCUACUAGUCGAAACUUAUUAAAUCUAAUUGAUCCAAAUUAAUUUGAUCAACGGAACAAGUUACCCUAGGGAUAACAGCGCAAUCCUACUUGAGAGUCCAUAUCGAAGGUAGGGUUUACGACCUCGAUGUUGGAUCAGGACAUCCCGAUGGUGCAACAGCUAUCAAAGGUUCGUUUGUUCAACGAUUAAAGUCCUACGUGAUCUGAGUUCAGACCGGAGUGAUCCAGGUCGGUUUCUAUCUAUUAAACUAUUCCUCUUAGUACGAAAGGACCAGAGAAAUGAGGCCUACUUUACAUAAGCGCCUUAACUUAAAAUGAUGAUAUACUCUUAAUCUAAUAGUUAAACUAAACCCUAGAUAAGGGGUU